CAACAUUGUAAACCAUUUGCUCUGAUAGGGUUUUGCCCUCUUUCAAUAGUGAUUGACAUGGUCUCUUCCUCUUCCUCUGCCGUCUCUCUCAUCCGCUCAUCUUCGCCAUGUAACCCGCUUCUGCAGCUGCCUCGCAACUUGCUUCCGCUUCUACUGCGCCGCGCAACCCACUUCCCCGCCGUCGCGCAACCCGCUUCCCCGCCGCCGCACAACCCGCUUCCCCAGCUUUCUAUCAGAAUGUAAUUUCAAUUCGAAAACAGUUGGAACAUUUAAAAGAAUACAAAAAUAGGUUGGAGAGGAUUCUUGGUAAACAGAAGAUCAUAUGAAGAACGCUAUAUUUUUCAGAAGUGCAGGGACAAAUGACUUUGUUAUUAAUUAUUUUACAUUGCCAAUACGAAGAAAGAAAGAGGAUAAGUUAUUGUUUGGAACGGUGUAGAAUUGAAGGAAGUAAUUGGUAUCCAGAGGAAGAGAAAGAAGAGGACAGAGGGUAAGUUAUUGUUUUGCAGCAUGAAGCAGCAGCUACCUGGCGUUGAUGCUAAAUUGCAGAAGAUUGCAGAUUCUACGAAGUUAGUUAUUGUCAUCAGAUGAUUGAUGGUUAUCUGAUAUGCAAUGUAACAGUCAUACGAGGUGAAAUCAAGGGGCAUUGAAAUAUUCUGUAAGAGUUGGCUUCCUGAGGCAUCCAAGCCAAAAGCAACAGUGUUUUUCUGUGAUGGAUAUGGAGACAUCUGCACUUUUUUCUUUGAAGGCAUGUUCCUGGCAUAGCUAGGAAGAUAGCAUUAGCUGGAUACGGGGUCUUUGCUAUGGAUUAUCCUGGAUUUGGCCUUUCACAAGGCCUCCAUGGCUAUAUCCCUAGUUUUGAUGGUCUUGUUGAUGAUGUCAUUGAACAUUACUCAAAAAUCAAAGCUGUCUUAGGCAAUUGCAUAACUAGAAUUAAAGCAUCAAACGUAUGAUGUGCAUUAGGAAACUAUGAUGUGCAGCAACCCCAAGGGUAACAUUAACAUUGCAGAGUUGAGAAAGGCCGCAGAAACUCACAAGGACAACUUAUCAGCACAUAUGAUAAAAUUUGCUUCCUAUAUAUUGAUACUUGUAUAUUCCAGUUAUAUAAGCAAAUUGACAUUAUUGUCAAACUUUGAGCCUUUUUUAUACUAAGUUUGGUUAUGAUUUGAUUGUAGGCAACGUAUCCCUCAACCUAUGAAUGUACCUACGGGCUUAGAUUAUUCCUGCGAGGCUGCGACCACUUUGAGCCUUUUCUUACUUUUCAUGAGAUAUACUUUUCUUCGAGUCUUUUCUAUUAUUCUUACUUUUCUUACUUUUCAUGAGAUAUACUUCAGUUCUAUGAAUGUACCUACGGGCUAGAUUAUACUUCAGUUCUAUUUUCUUUUAAAGGAAAAUGGAUGAUUGUAGGCUCAAUGUCAACAAUGAUGAAUUCUGUCUUAAAUAUUACAACCAGAGUGCAUAUAAGCUGUUAUCCAAAGACUUUGCGAAUCCUUGCAGCAUAGACCAAUAUGCUAUGAUAUGUGCACGACAGUGAUGCAAUAUUAGAAUAUUUCUAAAAAAGUCUUGCCUCUUCCUCCUCCCUCCAGUGAAUAAUAAUUGUGUUAUUUUAUUUUAUGAUUGAUGUUGUA
Arachis stenosperma is the source of this 1625-nucleotide long non-coding RNA. RefSeq lists it as uncharacterized. NCBI's taxonomy places the organism in Eukaryota, Viridiplantae, Streptophyta, Magnoliopsida, Fabales, Fabaceae. The transcript is spliced from 4 exons. The record is from RefSeq and is a predicted model, not a curated record.